Molecule: unclassified non-coding RNA, 346 nt
Filed under: soil metagenome
Description: partial contains 5.8S ribosomal RNA, internal transcribed spacer 2, and large subunit ribosomal RNA
Rfam family: 5.8S ribosomal RNA (bases 1-120)
Source: RNAcentral
GAUGAAGAACGCAGCGAAAUGCGAUACGUAGUGUGAAUUGCAGAAUUCAGUGAAUCAUCGAAUCUUUGAACGCACAUUGCGCCCGCCAGUAUUCUGGCGGGCAUGCCUGUUCGAGCGUCAUUUCAACCCUCAAGCCCUCGGGUUUGGUGUUGGGGAUCGGCGAGCCUUUCUGGCAAGCCGGCCCCGAAAUCUAGUGGCGGUCUCGCUGCAGCCUCCAUUGCGUAGUAGUAAAACCCUCGCAACUGGAACGCGGCGCGGCCAAGCCGUUAAACCCCCAACUUCUGAAUGUUGACCUCGGAUCAGGUAGGAAUACCCGCUGAACUUAAGCAUAUCAAUAAGCGGAGGA